This 535-nucleotide long non-coding RNA is filed under the name Ananas comosus (pineapple). Its description in RNAcentral is "long non-coding RNA (ACOM_LNC019017)". The record is from RNAcentral. Lineage: Eukaryota; Viridiplantae; Streptophyta; Magnoliopsida; Poales; Bromeliaceae.
CAAGUCAUUUGAUUUGGCGACAUAAAACCCCUAUUAAAAUAAAAGUUUUCAUCUGAUUACUACUUUGAAAGAGACUUCUAAUUGUUGACUGUCUGCGUAAACGUGGCGUACUAGUGGACUAACAUUUUAUUUUUUUACCCUUUCGAUAUGGAAAAAUGUGACCAUCUUUUUAGUCGCUGUGUAUUUGUUCGAUAUUUAUUUCUUAGUGGAGAAAGCUUGUCCAUUUACACUGAGCCAAUGGAGGAAGUUCAAGGUCUUUGAAAAAUGGUUAUUAAUCUAGCCGACACUGGAAAGAGAACUAAAAGCUUAACCCUCUUGUUGGCUGUCUGGUGGGUAGUCUGGAUUGAGACGAACAAUUUUAUCUUUCACGAGCAAUCCACGGUUCCUUCUCUCUCGCUGAACCGUGUCAAACGUUUGUUAUCCGAGUGAAACAAGCCCUCUACUGUUUACUUACUCUUCUCUCUAGUCUCUUUAUCUUAAGUCCCUUUUCCUUUUUUUUUCCUUGCCUUCUAUUUCACUUCUUUUUUUUUUUUUU